This is an RNA transcript of Mangifera indica (mango), 2522 nucleotides long. It is a transcript of the gene named YLP motif-containing protein 1-like, with no coding region annotated. The record is from RefSeq and is a predicted model, not a curated record. NCBI's taxonomy places the organism in Eukaryota, Viridiplantae, Streptophyta, Magnoliopsida, Sapindales, Anacardiaceae. The transcript is spliced from 6 exons.
UUUCUUUAGGAAAGAGUUAGUUAUUUUACAUUCCCUCCCCCGCGCUUUCUCUCUGUUCACCAUUAUUUUCUCCAGAAAUUUCGAAAUACUCGCUCUGAAUCCAAAUCAUGGAUCAUCAUCAAUGGCAUUUCAGGCCACCACGCCCGGCCAAUAACGUAUGUCCAAUUUGCCAUGUUUGUCACUUCCCAUUUUGCCCUUCCCUUCUUCCUCCGCCUAUGCUAAUCAAAACCCUAGGUUUCCACCCCGGCCUGGAUUCGACCCGAUACCUUGGCACGGUGUGAACCCUAGUUUCGAUGGGCAAAAUCCGGUACAGUCGGUGUAUGAUUACUACGGUUGUAGUAACGGUUUUGUUAGUGAAUAUGAUAGGAAUUAUAAUAAUAAAAGAAUGAGAAUUGAUGAGAACAAUUACCAGUAUGUUCACGAACGCCGAUUGAGGCUGAUUCGCUAUCACGGCUGCGUUUCCGGAAACCCUGAGUUUUUUAAUAGGAAUGGGAUUCAUUCUGUUGAAAAUCAUGCAGCUAAUAGUUCAGUUCAAUUGAGUCAUGAUUGGCCAAAUUUUGGUCCCAACAGUCAACCACCACCAACGGCGUUACCAUCACUGCCACUAUCGCAGUUACCUCCCCCUCAACGUGGAUGGCAGCCCCAACAUUAUUGUAACGGUAAUGAGCAUUUGAAUAUACCAGGAGGUUACUUAUCACAUCGUACUGGCAAUGACAUUGGGCGGCCUCCUCUUACUACUUGUCCGCCCUCACCUUUUCCGGUGGACCACCCACUGCCACAUCUACGGCCGCCAGCAACACCAAAAACGUCUUUGUUUCCUUUACCUGUCAGUGGUCCUUCCUCAUUCUUACAAAUUCCGCACGCUUCUGCUGAGUUUCUUAGGGAUGUACUGCUUUGCUGUCAUAUGCUUGGUUUGUGAUCUUGUCUUAAUUGUUGGCAUUGUGUUAUUUGGUUUAAAGUAUUAUGUUUGUGUCAUGAAGUAAUCCCAGUCAUUGUCUAUGCCGUACCUGGUAGAAAGCCAAUCAUUUCCCCUGAAGCAGUUAUGUCCUGAGAAGCCGAAAGUUGUGAAUGCUUUACAGUUGUUUAAGCUGUCUCAUCGAGCUACUCGCCCUGACCAUAUUGUGAUAAUACUUCGUAGGCUUCCAGGUAGUGGAAAGAGCUACUUAGCAAAAUUGUUGCCUGACCUUGAGGUUGAAAAUGGUGGUGAUGCUCCAAGAAUUCAUUCUAUGGAUAAUUAUUUCAUGACUGAAGUUGAAAGUGCAUGGUCACUUCUGUGGGCAUGGUGUAUGUUCCUCCCUUAAGAUACCUCUGCACAAACAUGCGUAAAAAGAUAUUGAGGAGGGUGAUGUCUCAAAAUCUUCAAGUUCAAUUCGAAGCAAGAAAUUGAUAACAAAGAAGGUGAUGGAGUAUUGCUAUGAACCUGAAAUGGAGGAGACUUAUCGGUCAAGCAUGUUGAAAGCAUUUAAGAGGACUCUUGAGGAGGGGAAUUUCACUUUGUGAUUGGUGCCACAAAGAAUGCUAACAUGCUGUCUUUAGUAAUUGGACCGGGGUGCCGGAUACAACUUGGUUAGUCAUGCAGUAAUUAUGUUGCCUAUAAUUUGGAUUAUUCAAAUAAAUUUUUAGUCUGUUGUAGUUGUAUAUACCAUAUUCUGAUAAUACUCUUUUUAAGUUGGUGAUCAUUACUAGUAUUUGCUAUUUGUUCUUUUCAAUUUUGUUUGGAGAGCAUGCUUUUCUUUGGGCCAAUAGGAUGGGAAGGUGGUUUUUUUUUAAUUUGUGUGUUUAUUUUCUAUGACUGAAAAUUUUUGCCUUAUGUUUGCCGUCCACAAAGAUUCACUUUUAUAAGUAUGUUUGUGGGCUUCCAACUCCUGCAGAAGUCCAACCCAGUAAAAGUAUGUUUGUGUGCUUCCAACUCCUGCAGAAGUCCAACCCAGUAAACUAAAGAAGAGCAAUCAGGUUCAAUGCCUAGCGUUGGCAAGUCAGAGAAGCAGAGCUCAUUCCAAGAGCAUCUCUGAGCGGAGCGCGAGUCCUUCAAAGCUGUUUUUGACAGGAGAUGACAGCGAAUUGGUGGACUCAGUUUGGAGGGGGAAUGAUAACCAAACAAAAGCUAGCAAGUUUUCCUAAUAGCUAGAGUUCUGAUAUUUUUGUUAUUCUUUUGGGGGUCAUUUAAUUAUCUGAUAAUCCAAGGGAGCAUUGGUCAAAGAAACAAAGAUGACUCAGUGGUAUAUUUGUUUUGUGGGUUACUUUCUCUGUCCCGGCGAAAAGUUAGGCCCCUCCCAUUGUGAAAUCAGAACGUAGAAUAUUUUUGUAGAGGUGAUGGGCAAUAUGGCGAAGCUUGCCAUUGGUGUUGGAUUCUGUAAUCUUAGCUGAGUGAGCUUGUUGUUCAGUUUGGUAGACAAAUAAUCAUAUAAUUUUAGUCACACCAGAUUAUAAUAUUUGGUAUACAUAGUUGUAUGAUCUGAUCUUGAUCAACGCUGUCGAAAAUUUGUCCAAGAGGAAUGGUCAAGUGUAAUUUUUUUUUUUUA